This 922-nucleotide ribosomal RNA is filed under the name Chiloplacus propinquus. RNAcentral describes it as "SSU rRNA". It matches the Rfam family "Eukaryotic small subunit ribosomal RNA", at positions 39 to 966 of the family's 1831-position model. The record is from RNAcentral. Lineage: Eukaryota; Metazoa; Nematoda; Chromadorea; Rhabditida; Cephalobidae.
AAAGAUUAAGCCAUGCAUGUCUAAGUAUAACCUAUAUAAUCGCGAAACCGCGAAUGGCUCAUUAUAACAGCUAUAAUUUACUUGAUCUUGACACUAUCCUACUUGGAUAACUGUGGUAAUUCUAGAGCUAAUACAUGCAUUAAAGCUCUGACCUCACGGGAAGAGUGCACUUAUUAGAACAAAACCAAGCGGCUUCGGCUGUUUUCGGUUGACUCAUAGUAACUGAGCUGAUCGCACGGUCUUGCACCGGCGACGUGUCUUUCAAGUAUCUGCCGUAUCAACUUUCGAUGGUAGUGUAUCUGACUACCAUGGUGAUCACGCGUAACGGAGAAUAAGGGUUCGGCUCCGGAGAGUUCGCCUGAGAAAUCGCGAACACAUCUAAGGAAGGCAGCAGGCGCGAAAAUUACCCACUCUCAGCACGAGGAGGUAGUGACGAAAAAUAACGAGACCGUUCUCUUAUGAGGCCGGUCAUCGGAAUGGGUACAAUUUAAACCCUUUAACGAGUAUCUAUGAGAGGGCAAGUCUGGUGCCAGCAGCCGCGGUAAUUCCAGCUCUCAAAGUGCAUAGAAUUAUUGCUGCGGUUAAAAAGCUCGUAGUUGGAUCUGUGCCAUAGGACGUGGUCCACCCUCUGGGUGCGUACUAUGUUCCUAGGCUUUUUGCUGGUUUUCCCGUCGUAGCCUUAACUGGUUGCGGCGGGUGGCUGGCGAGUUUACUUUGAGAAAAUCAGAGUGCUCAACACAGGCGUAUCGCUUGAAUGAUUGUGCAUGGAAUAAUAGAAAAGGAUUUCGGUCCUCUUUUAUUGGUUUUGUGGACUGAGAUAAUGGUUAACAGGGACCAACGGGGGCAUUCGUAUCGCUGCGUGAGAGGUGAAAUUCUUGGACCGUAGCGAGACGCCCUACUGCGAAAGCAUUUGCCAAGAAUG